CGAUAACGAACGAGACCUUAACCUACUAAAUAGCAGUACUAGCUUCGGCUGGUCUUCUGCUUCUUAGAGGGACUAUCUAUUUCAAGUAGAUGGAAGUUUGAGGCAAUAACAGGUCUGUGAUGCCCUUAGACGUUCUGGGCCGCACGCGCGCUACACUGACGGAGCCAGCGAGUACUAUCCUUGGCCGAAAGGUGCGGGUAAUCUCGUGAAACUCCGUCGUGCUGGGGAUAGAGCAUUGUAAUUAUUGCUCUUCAACGAGGAAUUCCUAGUAAGCGCAAGUCAUCAGCUUGCGUUGAUUACGUCCCUGCCCUUUGUACACACCGCCCGUCGCUACUACCGAUUGAAUGGCU
This 350-nucleotide ribosomal RNA is filed under the name uncultured fungus. RNAcentral describes it as "SSU rRNA". It matches the Rfam family "Eukaryotic small subunit ribosomal RNA", at positions 1326 to 1698 of the family's 1831-position model. The record is from RNAcentral. Lineage: Eukaryota; Fungi.